GAGUUUGAUCCUGGCUCAGGAUGAACGCUAGCUACAGGCUUAACACAUGCAAGUCGAGGGGCAGCAUGAACUUAGCUUGCUAAGUUUGAUGGCGACCGGCGCACGGGUGAGUAACACGUAUCCAACCUGCCGAUGACUCGGGGAUAGCCUUUCGAAAGAAAGAUUAAUACCCGAUGGCAUAGUUCUUCCGCAUGGUAGAACUAUUAAAGAACUUCGGUCAUCGAUGGGGAUGCGUUCCAUUAGGUUGUUGGCGGGGUAACGGCCCACCAAGCCUUCGAUGGAUAGGGGUUCUGAGAGGAAGGCCCCCCACAUUGGAACUGAGACACGGUCCAAACUCCUACGGGAGGCAGCAGUGAGGAAUAUUGGUCAAUGGACGAGAGUCUGAACCAGCCAAGUAGCGUGAAGGAUGACUGCCCUAUGGGUUGUAAACUUCUUUUAUACGGGAAUAAAGUGAGGCACGUGUGCCUUCUUGUAUGUACCGUAUGA
This 486-nucleotide ribosomal RNA is filed under the name uncultured bacterium. RNAcentral's name for it is "bacterial SSU rRNA". It matches the Rfam family "Bacterial small subunit ribosomal RNA", at positions 9 to 485 of the family's 1533-position model. The record is from RNAcentral.